This 457-nucleotide ribosomal RNA is filed under the name Lactobacillus iners. Its description in RNAcentral is "bacterial SSU rRNA". It matches the Rfam family "Bacterial small subunit ribosomal RNA", at positions 100 to 537 of the family's 1533-position model. Lineage: Bacteria; Bacillati; Bacillota; Bacilli; Lactobacillales; Lactobacillaceae. The record is from RNAcentral.
CCAUAUGGUCGACCUGCAGGCGGCCGCGAAUUCACUAGUGAUUGGAAACAGGUGCUAAUACCGGAUAACAACAGAUGAUGCCUAUCAACUGUUUAAAAGAUGGUUCUGCUAUCACUAAGAGAUGGUCCCGCGGUGCAUUAGCUAGUUGGUAAGGUAAUGGCUUACCAAGGCGAUGAUGCAUAGCCGAGUUGAGAGACUGAUCGGCCACAAUGGGACUGAGACACGGCCCAUACUCCUACGGGAGGCAGCAGUAGGGAAUCUUCCACAAUGGGCGAAAGCCUGAUGGAGCAACGCCGCGUGUGUGAUGAAGGGUUUCGGCUCGUAAAACACUGUUGUAAGAGAAGAAUGACAUUGAGAGUAACUGUUCAAUGUGUGACGGUAUCUUACCAGAAAGGAACGGCUAAAUACGUGCCAGCAGCCGCGGUAAUACGAUAAUCGAAUUCCCGCGGCCGCCAUG